Molecule: ribosomal RNA, 253 nt
Filed under: uncultured bacterium
Lineage: Bacteria
Description: partial 16S ribosomal RNA
Rfam family: Bacterial small subunit ribosomal RNA
Source: RNAcentral
UACGUAGGAUCCAAGCGUUGUCCGGAUUUACUGGGUGUAAAGGGUGCGCAGGCGGACUGGUGAGUCUGGGGUGAAAUCUCGCCGCUUAACGGCGAAACUGCCUUAGAUACUAUCAGUCUUGAAUCAGCGAGAGGUUCGUGGAAUUCCGAGUGUAGCAGUGAAAUGUGUAGAUAUUCGGAAGAACACCAGUGGCGAAGGCAGCGAGCUGGCGCUCGAUUGACGCUCAGGCACGAAAGCAUGGGGAUCAAACAGG